UGCCUACGGGGCGCAGCAGUGGGGAAUAUUGCACAAUGGGGGAAACCCUGAUGCAGCGACGCCGCGUGAGUGAAGAAGUAUUUCGGUACGUAAAGCUCUAUCAGCAGGGAAGAAAAAAAGUCCUUUGGACUUUGGACGGUACCUGACUAAGAAGCCCCGGCUAACUACGUGCCAGCAGCCGCGGUAAUACGUAGGGGGCAAGCGUUAUCCGGAUUUACUGGGUGUAAAGGGAGCGUAGACGGCAGCGCAAGUCUGGAGUGAAAUGCCGGGGCCCAACCCCGGAACUGCUUUGGAAAC
RNAcentral lists this ribosomal RNA (297 nucleotides) under uncultured bacterium. Its description in RNAcentral is "partial 16S ribosomal RNA". It matches the Rfam family "Bacterial small subunit ribosomal RNA", at positions 335 to 633 of the family's 1533-position model. The record is from RNAcentral.